Molecule: ribosomal RNA, 253 nt
Filed under: uncultured bacterium
Lineage: Bacteria
Description: partial 16S ribosomal RNA
Rfam family: Bacterial small subunit ribosomal RNA
Source: RNAcentral
UACAGAGGGGGCAAGCGUUGUUCGGAAUUACUGGGCGUAAAGGGCGCGUAGGCGGCCUUCUAAGUCAAACGUGAAAUCCCCGGGCUCAAUCCGGGAACUGCGUCCGAGACUGAAAGGCGUGAAUCCGGGAGAGGGAUGUGGAAUUCCAGGUGUAGCGGUGAAAUGCGCAGAUAUCAGGAAGAACACCCGUGGCGAAGGCGGCUCUCUGGGACGGUACUGACGCUGAGACGCGAAAGCGUGGGGAGCGAACAGG